Theobroma cacao (cacao) is the source of this 160-nucleotide non-coding RNA. Lineage: Eukaryota; Viridiplantae; Streptophyta; Magnoliopsida; Malvales; Malvaceae. The record is from RefSeq and is a predicted model, not a curated record.
AGAAAUUGUUGGAUUUUAAGGAAUCAAGCAAGUAAAGGUAUAGGUGGUGAGCCCCCUGGUAAGAGUAAGGAUAUCGUACCCGAGAACCAAGAAUAGGAGUACUCCAUACUCCCGUUAAGGUGGUGAGUCCUCCGAUAAAGGCAAGGAAAUUGCAUCCGAG